Molecule: transfer RNA, 67 nt
Filed under: Mycobacterium kansasii ATCC 12478
Lineage: Bacteria; Bacillati; Actinomycetota; Actinomycetes; Mycobacteriales; Mycobacteriaceae
Description: tRNA-Und (NNN) (tRNA-Und-NNN-1-1)
Source: RNAcentral
CGACCAGACGGGCUUGCAGGUUCUCCUAAAGCCGGUGUCGCAGGUUCGAAUCCUGCCGGGGGCGCCA